Molecule: ribosomal RNA, 439 nt
Filed under: Thelepus sp. 1 RDC-2023
Lineage: Eukaryota; Metazoa; Annelida; Polychaeta; Terebellida; Terebellidae
Description: partial large subunit ribosomal RNA
Rfam family: Bacterial large subunit ribosomal RNA
Source: RNAcentral
AAUUCGCCCUUUAAUUGUGGGCUUGUAUGAAUGGACGAACGAGAAUUUAUCUGUCUCUCUAGUAUAUCUAUAAAUUAAUCUUCAGGUGAAGAAGCCUGAAUCAUUCUAAAGGACAAAAAGACCCUAAAGAGCUCCGUUAAUUUUAACUUCAAACCUUCAUAUUCUAUAUACAACAUUUACCCUUAAAAUUAACUUAACUGGGGCGGUUAAGGAAUAAUAUUAAUCUUCCAUCUAUUUUAUACUAAGACCUACAAGUCACUCAAUACAAAUUGACCCUUAUAAGACCACAGAAAUAAGCUACCUUAGGGAUAACAGAUUAAUCCUCCUCAAGAGUACACAUUGACAGGAGGGAUUGACACCUCGAUGUUGGCUUAGGAUUACUUAAGGGUAGUAGAAGCCCUUAAAGUAGGUUUGUUCAACCUUUAAUUUCCUACGUGAU